UACUUAUGAUGACUUGUUAUUUGCUACUCUCGACUGUUGAAUGACGACAUUUAACCACCAAGAUCGCUGAUAUU
Small nucleolar RNA from Eurytemora carolleeae, 74 nucleotides. RefSeq annotates it as small nucleolar RNA SNORD24. The transcript has a single exon. The record is from RefSeq and is a predicted model, not a curated record. Lineage: Eukaryota; Metazoa; Arthropoda; Copepoda; Calanoida; Temoridae.